UCCCUUCGGGGACAUCCGAUAAAAUUGGAACGAUACAGAGAAGAUUAGCAUGGCCCCUGCGUAAGGAUGACACGCACAAAUCGAGAAAUGGAUAUCAUAUUAUCAUCUCAUGGUUGUGGGUGAUAAUGAGCUUGGAGGUCCUUGAUGAGAUGUGCAACUCGAAUCUAAGUUGUAGAUGAUGUAUAGUAUACCAGCAUGCACUUUGUGGAUACCUUUUAGAGCUUGGAUGUGCUUGAUGAAAUGCGUGACUGGAGUCUGAGUUCCUCCAUUGCUGUGAUUGAUUCCGGAUGCUGUACAGGAUUCUUGUCCCUUGAUCAAAGUCUCUUUGGAAAAAUCAAAACUGCAAACAAAAACAGUUGAUAUAUAGAGUUCAAUUCAAUCCAAAAAUUUAGCAAUGGCCAAGUUUGAGGACACCAUCACAAUGGUUGCACUAAUCCUCCUCGCAAUCUCCUUUGCCGCCGUCUCAAGAGAAUUCGCCUAUGAACCGUCAUCUGCCAAUGCCAUAACCGGUGACGAUCCUUUCUACACCGGAAUUUUCGACAUUACAAUAUUUGCCAAUGAACCAAGUUAUGCAGAGGGACCAAAUGAAUACAUGGAUCAAGUUGUCAAUAAGGACAAUGACUACCCUGUUUCAGAUGGUUUUGUCAUAAAUGAUUCAAUUUUAGGGUUAGGGUUAGGGUUCAUCAACCCUUUUGGCUGGCUCAGUAGCAUUUGGGAUUUUGUCAAGAGUUACUUGACUGAUGAGUAGUUUCUUUGUUUACUUUUGUGGGACAAUGAGAAGAGUUCCAUGAGACCUUAAUUUGGUGGUUGUUUUCUUAUAAUCAUGUAUGAUUUUAAUGAGCUUAAAUUUUAAUAGAUA
Long non-coding RNA from Dioscorea cayenensis subsp. rotundata (Guinea yam), 859 nucleotides. RefSeq lists it as uncharacterized. Lineage: Eukaryota; Viridiplantae; Streptophyta; Magnoliopsida; Dioscoreales; Dioscoreaceae. The record is from RefSeq and is a predicted model, not a curated record. The transcript is spliced from 5 exons.